GACGAACGCUGGCGGCGUGCUUAACACAUGCAAGUCGAACGGAAGGGCCCUGCUUUUGUGGGGUGCUCGAGUGGCGAACGGGUGAGUAACACGUGAGUAACCUGUCCUUGACUUUGGGAUAACUUCAGGAAACUGGGGCUAAUACCGGAUAGGAGCUCCUGCUGCAUGGUGGGGGUUGGAAAGUUUCGGCGGUUGGGGAUGGACUCGCGGCUUAUCAGCUUGUUGGUGGGGUAGUGGCUUACCAAGGCUUUGACGGGUAGCCGGCCUGAGAGGGUGACCGGCCACAUUGGGACUGAGAUACGGCCCAGACUCCUACGGGAGGCAGCAGUGGGGAAUAUUGCACAAUGGGCGGAAGCCUGAUGCAGCAACGCCGCGUGCGGGAUGACGGCCUUCGGGUUGUAAACCGCUUUCGCCUGUGACGAAGCGUGAGUGACGGUAAUGGGUAAAGAAGCACCGGCUAACUACGUG
RNAcentral lists this ribosomal RNA (468 nucleotides) under uncultured bacterium. Its description in RNAcentral is "partial 16S ribosomal RNA". It matches the Rfam family "Bacterial small subunit ribosomal RNA", at positions 28 to 507 of the family's 1533-position model. The record is from RNAcentral.